UUUUAAGACUAUAAAAAAAUCUAUUUAAACGAAAAUAAUUUCCGAAAAAUAAGCCAUUAAAUGAGUAAAAAAAAAUAUUGGUUUAAUGGUGAAAGAUUUGAAUAUUAUGCCGUGUUGGUGUUUCAUCCUCCUGUCCAAUGUAAAAAAAAAAAUAAAAAAAUAGAGAAAAAUAAAAAGAAUAAUCAUUUCAUUUCCAAACGAAAUAGACAUAGAUCGAUCCUCUCCAACCCUCUUCCAGUUUCUGUUAUCCCUUAUCAGUGUAACUGUUCAAGGGAGAAGAACACCCAAAGGACUUCAACACAACCUCGUCACUUUCCCUUCACUGUGAGUCUCUCUCUCUCCACUCUCUCUCUCUCUCUCUCUCUCACACACACACACACACACACACAAUGAUUUUUAAUUUCCCAGAAUUUUAAAAGGGUUCAAUGAUUCUAUCCAAUGCAAUGAAAUUUUGGGUUUCUUUCUUUUGAGUAUUUACUUUCCUUGUUUUUUCAAAGUUUAUAUUUUUCUGCUAGUUUCAUUUCAAUAUCUUCAACAACGGCUCAGUGUGUGACAUGAUACCCUUUUGUUUAUGCAGAUUCAAUGGUACCCUACUCUUAAAAAACAUCAAAGUUAUGAACUUUUCUUGUGCCAUAACAAAACCCAAUUUUCCAUUUUG
Molecule: long non-coding RNA, 658 nt
Filed under: Trifolium pratense (red clover)
Lineage: Eukaryota; Viridiplantae; Streptophyta; Magnoliopsida; Fabales; Fabaceae
Description: long non-coding RNA (TPRA_LNC008692)
Source: RNAcentral